This 420-nucleotide long non-coding RNA is filed under the name Homo sapiens (human). RNAcentral describes it as "HSALNT0325047". The record is from RNAcentral. Lineage: Eukaryota; Metazoa; Chordata; Mammalia; Primates; Hominidae.
ACACCCCUCUCUUUGUUUAUUGAUUGUCUGCUGCUGGAACAUAAACUUCUGGGCAGGGACAUGACUGUCUCUCCAGUAUCCUAUCCUUACCCUUAGCAGAAUGCUGUCCAGCCAUUGGCAGCCAGUAGCUUCUCAUUUCAUAUGUUCAUUGACAGAUGACUGUAUUUUCAUCUUCAGGACUACCCAGAGAUUGGACAAUUUUCUAGAAGAACCCACGGAACUUGUGACAGCCGUUAUCGCUGUGAUUAGGGAUUGCUACAUGGGGAGAAUACAGAUGCACUUUGGCAAAGAGAAGAGCCCAGGAAAACCGCCAGACAUGGAGCCCCUGUUGUCCUCUCUCUGUGGAGUCAUGGCUGGUGCUGCUCUCCUACAACCACAUGUCACAAUGGCCAAAGAGAAUUAUCUAUUGCCGAAGCUCAA